Molecule: ribosomal RNA, 256 nt
Filed under: Salmonella enterica
Lineage: Bacteria; Pseudomonadati; Pseudomonadota; Gammaproteobacteria; Enterobacterales; Enterobacteriaceae
Also listed under: 2 other names
Description: partial 16S ribosomal RNA
Rfam family: Bacterial small subunit ribosomal RNA
Source: RNAcentral
AAAUUGAAGAGUUUGAUCAUGGCUCAGAUUGAACGCUGGCGGCAGGCCUAACACAUGCAAGUCGAACGGUAACAGGAAGCAGCUUGCUGCUUUGCUGACGAGUGGCGGACGGGUGAGUAAUGUCUGGGAAACUGCCUGAUGGAGGGGGAUAACUACUGGAAACGGUGGCUAAUACCGCAUAACGUCGCAAGACCAAAGAGGGGGACCUUCGGGCCUCUUGCCAUCAGAUGUGCCCAGAUGGGAUUAGCUAGUUGGU